This 440-nucleotide ribosomal RNA is filed under the name uncultured bacterium. RNAcentral describes it as "partial 16S ribosomal RNA". It matches the Rfam family "Bacterial small subunit ribosomal RNA", at positions 338 to 795 of the family's 1533-position model. The record is from RNAcentral.
CCUACGGGUGGCAGCAGUGGGGGAUAUUGCACAAUGGGGGAAACCCUGAUGCAGCGACGCCGCGUGGGUGAAGAAGCGCCUCGGCGCGUAAAGCCCUGUCAGCAGGGAAGAAAAUGACGGUACCUGAAGAAGAAGCCCCGGCUAACUACGUGCCAGCAGCCGCGGUAAUACGUAGGGGGCAAGCGUUAUCCGGUUUUACUGGGUGUAAAGGGGGCGCAGACGGCGAUGCAAGCCAGGAGUGAAAGCCCGGGGCCCAACCCCGGGACUGCUGUUGGAACUGCGUGGCUAGAGUGCAGGAGGGGCAGGCGGAAUUCCUGGUGUAGCGGUGAAAUGCGUAGAGAUCAGGAGGAACACCGGUGGCGAAGGCGGCCUGCUGGACUGCAACUGACGUUGAGGCCCGAAAGCGUGGGGAGCAAACAGGAUUAGAUACCCCAGUAGUC